GAUGAACGCUGGCGGCGUGCCUAAUACAUGCAAGUCGAGCGAAAAGAUGAGGAGCUUGCUCCUCUGACGUUAGCGGCGGACGGGUGAGUAACACGUGGAUAACCUACCUAUAAGACUGGGAUAACUUCGGGAAACCGGAGCUAAUACCGGAUAAUAUAUUGAACCGCAUGGUUCAAUAGUGAAAGACGGUUUUGCUGUCACUUAUAGAUGGAUCCGCGCCGCAUUAGCUAGUUGGUAAGGUAACGGCUUACCAAGGCAACGAUGCGUAGCCGACCUGAGAGGGUGAUCGGCCACACUGGAACUGAGACACGGUCCAGACUCCUACGGGAGGCAGCAGUAGGGAAUCUUCCGCAAUGGGCGAGAGCCUGACGGAGCAACGCCGCGUGAGUGAUGAAGGUCUUCGGAUCGUAAAACUCUGUUAUUAGGGAAGAACAAAUGUGUAAGUAACUAUGCACGUCUUGACGGUACCUAAUCAGAAAGCCACGGCUAACUACGUG
Molecule: ribosomal RNA, 497 nt
Filed under: uncultured bacterium
Lineage: Bacteria
Description: partial 16S ribosomal RNA
Rfam family: Bacterial small subunit ribosomal RNA
Source: RNAcentral